RNAcentral lists this transfer RNA (80 nucleotides) under Perkinsus marinus ATCC 50983. It matches the Rfam family "tRNA". From Rfam's summary of the family: Transfer RNA (tRNA) molecules are approximately 80 nucleotides in length. Their secondary structure includes four short double-helical elements and three loops (D, anti-codon, and T loops). Lineage: Eukaryota; Perkinsozoa; Perkinsida; Perkinsidae. The record is from Rfam by way of RNAcentral.
GACAGCGUGUCCGAAUGGUAAGGAGGUGGAAUCGAAAUCCAUUAGGCUAUGCUGCGCAGGUUUGAAUCCUGCCGCUAUCG